This 532-nucleotide ribosomal RNA is filed under the name Ampelomyces sp. F225. RNAcentral describes it as "eukaryotic LSU rRNA". The stretch from base 188 to 341 matches the Rfam family "5.8S ribosomal RNA". Lineage: Eukaryota; Fungi; Ascomycota; Dothideomycetes; Pleosporales; Phaeosphaeriaceae. The record is from RNAcentral.
AAGUCGUAACAAGGUUUCCGUAGGUGAACCUGCGGAAGGAUCAUUACCUAGAGUUGUAGGCUUUGCCUGCUAUCUCUUACCCAUGUCUUUUGAGUACCUUACGUUUCCUCGGUGGGUUCGCCCACCGAUUGGACAAACUUAAACCCUUUGCAGUUGAAAUCAGCGUCUGAAAAAACUUAAUAGUUACAACUUUCAACAACGGAUCUCUUGGUUCUGGCAUCGAUGAAGAACGCAGCGAAAUGCGAUAAGUAGUGUGAAUUGCAGAAUUCAGUGAAUCAUCGAAUCUUUGAACGCACAUUGCGCCCCUUGGUAUUCCAUGGGGCAUGCCUGUUCGAGCGUCAUUUGUACCUUCAAGCUCUGCUUGGUGUUGGGUGUUUGUCUCCUGUAGACUCGCCUUAAAACAAUUGGCAGCCGGCGUAUUGAUUUCGGAGCGCAGUACAUCUCGCGCUUUGCACUCAUAACGACGACGUCCAAAAGUACAUUUUUACACUCUUGACCUCGGAUCAGGUAGGGAUACCCGCUGAACUUAAGC